Molecule: non-coding RNA, 138 nt
Filed under: Bacillus thermotolerans
Lineage: Bacteria; Bacillati; Bacillota; Bacilli; Caryophanales; Bacillaceae
Also listed under: 1 other name
Description: Quasibacillus thermotolerans FMN riboswitch aptamer (RFN element)
Rfam family: FMN riboswitch aptamer (RFN element)
About the family: The RFN element is a highly conserved domain that is found frequently in the 5'-untranslated regions of prokaryotic mRNAs that encode for flavin mononucleotide (FMN) biosynthesis and transport proteins. This element is a metabolite-dependent riboswitch that directly binds FMN in the absence of proteins. In Bacillus subtilis, the riboswitch most likely controls gene expression by causing premature transcription termination within the 5' untranslated region of the ribDEAHT operon and precluding access to the ribosome-binding site of ypaA mRNA.
Source: Rfam by way of RNAcentral
GAUAUCCUUCGGGGCAGGGUGAAAUUCCCUACCGGCGGUGAUGAGCCUGCGCUCUCAGCCCGUGACCCGCAUUCGUUUGCGGUGGAUUCGGUGAAAUUCCGGAGCCGACAGUGAUAGUCUGGAUGGGAGAAGGAUGAA